AGAGUUUGAUCAUGGCUCAGAUUGAACGCUGGCGGCAGGCCUAACACAUGCAAGUCGAACGGUAACAGGAAACAGCUUGCUGUUUCGCUGACGAGUGGCGGACGGGUGAGUAAUGUCUGGGAAACUGCCUGAUGGAGGGGGAUAACUACUGGAAACGGUAGCUAAUACCGCAUAAUGUCGCAAGACCAAAGAGGGGGACCUUCGGGCCUCUUGCCAUCGGAUGUGCCCAGAUGGGAUUAGCUAGUAGGUGGGGUAAAGGCUCACCUAGGCGACGAUCCCUAGCUGGUCUGAGAGGAUGACCAGCCACACUGGAACUGAGACACGGUCCAGACUCCUACGGGAGGCAGCAGUGGGGAAUAUUGCACAAUGGGCGCAAGCCUGAUGCAGCCAUGCCGCGUGUAUGAAGAAGGCCUUCGGGUUGUAAAGUACUUUCAGCGGGGAGGAAGGGAGUAAAGUUAAUACCUUUGCUCAUUGACGUUACCCGCAGAAGAAGCACCGGCUAACUCCGUGCCAGCAGCCGCGGUAAUACGGAGGGUGCAAGCGUUAAUCGGAAUUACUGGGCGUAAAGCGCACGCAGGCGGUUUGUUAAGUCAGAUGUGAAAUCCCCGGGCUCAACCUGGGAACUGCAUCUGAUACUGGCAAGCUUGAGUCUCGUAGAGGGGGGUAGAAUUCCAGGUGUAGCGGUGAAAUGCGUAGAGAUCUGGAGGAAUACCGGUGGCGAAGGCGGCCCCCUGGACGAAGACUGACGCUCAGGUGCGAAAGCGUGGGGAGCAAACAGGAUUAGAUACCCUGGUAGUCCACGCCGUAAACGAUGUCGACUUGGAGGUUGUGCCCUUGAGGCGUGGCUUCCGGAGCUAACGCGUUAAGUCGACCGCCUGGGGAGUACGGCCGCAAGGUUAAAACUCAAAUGAAUUGACGGGGGCCCGCACAAGCGGUGGAGCAUGUGGUUUAAUUCGAUGCAACGCGAAGAACCUUACCUGGUCUUGACAUCCACGGAAGUUUUCAGAGAUGAGAAUGUGCCUUCGGGAACCGUGAGACAGGUGCUGCAUGGCUGUCGUCAGCUCGUGUUGUGAAAUGUUGGGUUAAGUCCCGCAACGAGCGCAACCCUUAUCCUUUGUUGCCAGCGGUCCGGCCGGGAACUCAAAGGAGACUGCCAGUGAUAAACUGGAGGAAGGUGGGGAUGACGUCAAGUCAUCAUGGCCCUUACGACCAGGGCUACACACGUGCUACAAUGGCGCAUACAAAGAGAAGCGACCUCGCGAGAGCAAGCGGACCUCAUAAAGUGCGUCGUAGUCCGGAUUGGAGUCUGCAACUCGACUCCAUGAAGUCGGAAUCGCUAGUAAUCGUGGAUCAGAAUGCCACGGUGAAUACGUUCCCGGGCCUUGUACACACCGCCCGUCACACCAUGGGAGUGGGUUGCAAAAGAAGUAGGUAGCUUAACCUUCGGGAGGGCGCUUACCACUUUGUGAUUCAUGACUGGGGUGAAGUCGUAACAAGGUAACCGUAGGGGAACCUGCGGUUGGAUCACCU
This 1530-nucleotide ribosomal RNA is filed under the name Escherichia coli. RNAcentral describes it as "bacterial SSU rRNA". It matches the Rfam family "Bacterial small subunit ribosomal RNA". The record is from RNAcentral. RNAcentral also lists the same sequence under 2 other names. Lineage: Bacteria; Pseudomonadati; Pseudomonadota; Gammaproteobacteria; Enterobacterales; Enterobacteriaceae.